Molecule: ribosomal RNA, 253 nt
Filed under: uncultured bacterium
Lineage: Bacteria
Description: partial 16S ribosomal RNA
Rfam family: Bacterial small subunit ribosomal RNA
Source: RNAcentral
UACGGAGAGUGCAAACGUUGUUCGGAUUCACUGGGCGUAAAGGGCACGUAGGCGGCUCGGCAAAUCGGUCGUGGAAUCUCGACGCUUACCGUCGAAACGGCGGCCGAAAAUACCGGGCUCGAGGGCGUGAGGGGUCACUGGAACUCCUGGUGAAGCGGUGAAAUGCGUAGAUAUACGGAGGAACACCAGCGGCGAAGGCGGGUAGCUGGGCCAACACUGACGCUGAUGCGCGAAAGCUAGGGUAGCAAACGGG